Molecule: ribosomal RNA, 216 nt
Filed under: Glomeromycotina sp.
Lineage: Eukaryota; Fungi; Glomeromycota
Description: partial small subunit ribosomal RNA
Rfam family: Eukaryotic small subunit ribosomal RNA (bases 40-216)
Source: RNAcentral
GGGUCAGUAGGUUGGUCGUGCCACCGGUACGUACUGGUCUCACUGAUUCCUCCUUCCUGAAUAACCGUAAUGCCAUUAAUUUGGUGUUGCGGGGAAACAGGACUGUUACUUUGAAAAAAUUAGAGUGUUUAAAGCAAGCUAACGCUUGAAUAAAUUAGCAUGUAAUAAUGAAAUAGGACGAUCGAUCCUAUUUUGUUGGUUUCUAGGAUUGACGUA